CACCGUGCCACUUGGCAAAACAUUCAAAAAUUCAAUAGGCUGUUUUGGUAAACUGCCCAAACAGGCAGGUUGAAGAAUCGGCUUUAGUGCAUACAA
Molecule: non-coding RNA, 96 nt
Filed under: unclassified sequences
Description: RT-17 RNA
Rfam family: RT-17 RNA
About the family: Bacteroidales (Bacteroidetes), Clostridiales (Firmicutes).
Source: Rfam by way of RNAcentral